Molecule: ribosomal RNA, 252 nt
Filed under: Veillonella dispar
Lineage: Bacteria; Bacillati; Bacillota; Negativicutes; Veillonellales; Veillonellaceae
Description: partial 16S ribosomal RNA
Rfam family: Bacterial small subunit ribosomal RNA
Source: RNAcentral
UACGUAGGUGGCAAGCGUUGUUCGGAAUUAUUGGGCGUAAAGCGCGCGCAGGCGGAUUGGUCAGUCUGUCUUAAAAGUUCGGGGCUUAACCCCGUGAUGGGAUGGAAACUGCCAAUCUAGAGUAUCGGAGAGGAAAGUGGAAUUCCUAGUGUAGCGGUGAAAUGCGUAGAUAUUAGGAAGAACACCAGUGGCGAAGGCGACUUUCUGGACGAAAACUGACGCUGAGGCGCGAAAGCCAGGGGAGCGAACGGG